UUCCGGUUGAUCCCGCCGGAGGCUACCGCUAUUGGAGUUCGAUUAAGCCAUGCGAGUCGAGAGUCUUAGGGACUCGGCGCACCGCUCAGUAACACGUGGGUAACCUGCCCUAUGCUGGGGAAUAACCUCGGGAAACUGAGAAUAAUGCCCCAUAGCCCACUACGCCUGGAACGGUGAGUGGGUCAAAGCUCCGGCGGCAUAGGAUGGGCCUGCGCCGUAUCAGGUUGUAGGGGGUGUAAAGUACCCUCUAGCCAUCAACGCGUACGGGUGUUGGGAGACAUUGCCCGGAGAUGGAUUCUGAGACACGAAUCCAGACCCUACGGGGUGCAGCAGGCGCGAAAACUUGGCAAUGCGAGCAAUCGUGACCAGGGAACUCCAAGUGCGUAGGGUAAGACCUACGCUUUCCUUGACUCUUCAAAGGUCUUGGAAUAAGGGGUGGGUAAGGACGGUGCCAGCCGCCGCGGUAAUACCGGCGCCUCAAGUGGUAGUCGCUUUUAUUGGGCCUAAAACGUCCGUAGCCGGUCUGGUGCAUUCGUGGGUAAAUCAACCCGCUCAACGGGUUGAAUUCUGCGAGCACGGCCAGACUUGGGACCGGGAGAGGUGUGGGGUACUCUCAGGGUAGGGGUAAAAUCCUGUCAUCCUGAGAGGACCACCUGUUGCGAAGGCGCCACACUAGAACGGAUCCGACGGUCAGGGACGAAACCUAGGGGCACGAACCGGAUUAGAUACCCGGGUAGUCCUAGGUGUAAACGCUGUGGACUUGAUGUUGGGGGCGCUCCGAGCGCUUUCAGUGUCGAAGCGAAGGUGAUAAGUCCACUGCCUGGGGAGUACGGUCGCAAGGCUGAAACUUAAAGGAAUUGGCGGGGGAGCACUGCAACCUGAGGAUUGUGCGGUUUAAUUGGAUUCAACGCCGGA
RNAcentral lists this ribosomal RNA (915 nucleotides) under uncultured archaeon. RNAcentral's name for it is "bacterial SSU rRNA". It matches the Rfam family "Archaeal small subunit ribosomal RNA", at positions 1 to 922 of the family's 1478-position model. The record is from RNAcentral.